This 492-nucleotide ribosomal RNA is filed under the name uncultured bacterium. Its description in RNAcentral is "partial 16S ribosomal RNA". It matches the Rfam family "Bacterial small subunit ribosomal RNA", at positions 29 to 507 of the family's 1533-position model. The record is from RNAcentral.
AGUGAACGCUGGCGGUGGGCCUAACACAUGCAAGUCGAACGGCAGCAUAGUAAGAGCUUGCUCUUACGGGUGGCGAGUGGCGGACGGGUGAGGAAUACAUCGGAAUCUACUUUUUCGUGGGGGAUAACGUAGGGAAACUUACGCUAAUACCGCAUACGACCUACGGGUGAAAGCAGGGGAUCUUCGGACCUUGCGCGAUUGAAUGAGCCGAUGUCGGAUUAGCUAGUUGGCGGGGUAAAGGCCCACCAAGGCGACGAUCCGUAGCUGGUCUGAGAGGAUGAUCAGCCACACUGGAACUGAGACACGGUCCAGACUCCUACGGGAGGCAGCAGUGGGGAAUAUUGGACAAUGGGCGCAAGCCUGAUCCAGCCAUACCGCGUGGGUGAAGAAGGCCUUCGGGUUGUAAAGCCCUUUUGUUGGGAAAGAAAAGCAGCAGGUUAAUACCCCGCUGUUCUGACGGUACCCAAAGAAUAAGCACCGGCUAACUUCGUG